RNAcentral lists this ribosomal RNA (253 nucleotides) under uncultured bacterium. RNAcentral's name for it is "partial 16S ribosomal RNA". It matches the Rfam family "Bacterial small subunit ribosomal RNA", at positions 524 to 776 of the family's 1533-position model. The record is from RNAcentral.
UACAGAGGUCUCAAGCGUUGUUCGGAUUUAUUGGGCGUAAAGGGCGCGUAGGCGGCGGGGUAAGUCGGGUGUGAAAUCUCAGGGCUCAACCCUGAAACUGCACUUGAUACUGCUCUGCUUGAGGACUGGAGAGGAGACUGGAAUUCACGGUGUAGCAGUGAAAUGCGUAGAUAUCGUGAGGAAGACCAGUGGCGAAGGCGGCAUCCUGGACCGGUAUUGACGCUGAGGAGCGAAAGCCAGGGGAGCAAACGGG